UCGAGAAUCUUCGGCAAUGAGCGCAAGCUUGACCGAGCGACGCCGCGUGCGGGAUGAAGGCCUUCGGGUUGUAAACCGCUGUCGUAGGGGAGGAAGGCUCCGUGAAGAGCGGGGUUUGACCUAUCCUAGGAGGAAGGACGGGCUAAGUUCGUGCCAGCAGCCGCGGUAAUACGAACCGUCCAAACGUUAUUCGGAAUUACUGGGCUUAAAGGGUAUGUAGGCGGCGCUGUUAGUCGGGUGUGAAAGCCCUCGGCUCAACCGAGGAAUUGCGCCCGAUACUGCAGUGCUUGAGGGAGACAGAGGUAAGCGGAACUGAUGGUGGAGCGGUGAAAUGCGUUGAUAUCAUCAGGAACACCAGUGGCGAAAGCGGCUUACUGGGUCUCUUCUGACGCUGAGAUACGAAAGCUAGGGGAGCGAAGGGGAUUAGAUACCCCGUAGUCCUAGCUGUAAACGUUGAGCACUUGAUCGGGGACCCCCCAUAGGUUCUCGGUCGUAGCGAAAGUGUUAAGUG
RNAcentral lists this ribosomal RNA (511 nucleotides) under uncultured Planctomycetota bacterium. RNAcentral's name for it is "bacterial SSU rRNA". It matches the Rfam family "Bacterial small subunit ribosomal RNA", at positions 355 to 866 of the family's 1533-position model. The record is from RNAcentral. Lineage: Bacteria; Pseudomonadati; Planctomycetota.